RNAcentral lists this ribosomal RNA (409 nucleotides) under uncultured bacterium. RNAcentral's name for it is "bacterial SSU rRNA". It matches the Rfam family "Bacterial small subunit ribosomal RNA", at positions 28 to 441 of the family's 1533-position model. The record is from RNAcentral.
GACGAACGCUGGCGGCGUGCUUAACACAUGCAAGUCGAACGAUGAACCGCUUCGGUGGGGAUUAGUGGCGAACGGGUGAGUAACACGUGGGCAAUCUGCCCUUCACUCUGGGACAAGCCCUGGAAACGGGGUCUAAUACCGGAUAACACUGCCACGGGCAUCUGUGGUGGUUAAAAGCUCCGGCGGUGAAGGAUGAGCCCGCGGCCUAUCAGCUUGUUGGUGAGGUAAUGGCUCACCAAGGCGACGACGGGUAGCCGGCCUGAGAGGGCGACCGGCCACACUGGGACUGAGACACGGCCCAGACUCCUACGGGAGGCAGCAGUGGGGAAUAUUGCACAAUGGGCGAAAGCCUGAUGCAGCGACGCCGCGUGUGUGAUGAAGGUCUUCGGAUCGUAAAGCACUUUCGACU